RNAcentral lists this ribosomal RNA (383 nucleotides) under Nitzschia sp. DM-MEX027. RNAcentral's name for it is "SSU rRNA". It matches the Rfam family "Eukaryotic small subunit ribosomal RNA", at positions 582 to 971 of the family's 1831-position model. The record is from RNAcentral. Lineage: Eukaryota; Bacillariophyta; Bacillariophyceae; Bacillariales; Bacillariaceae.
AUUCCAGCUCCAAUAGCGUAUAUUAAAGUUGUUGCAGUUAAAAAGCUCGUAGUUGGAUUUGUGGCGUCGCGUGCGGCUCGGCACUUGUGCCGGUGCUUGCUUGCGGCGCCAUCCUUGGGUGGAACCUGUGUGGCAUUAGGUUGUCGUGCAGGGGAUGCCCAUCGUUUACUGUGAAAAAAUUAGAGUGUUCAAAGCAGGCUUACGCCGUUGAAUAUGUUAGCAUGGAAUAAUAAGAUAGGACCUUGGUACUAUUUUGUUGGUUUGCGCACCAAGGUAAUGAUUAAUAGGGACAGUUGGGGGUAUUCGUAUUCCAUUGUCAGAGGUGAAAUUCUUGGAUUUUUGGAAGACGAACUACUGCGAAAGCAUUUACCAAGGAUGUUUUC